Molecule: ribosomal RNA, 253 nt
Filed under: uncultured bacterium
Lineage: Bacteria
Description: partial 16S ribosomal RNA
Rfam family: Bacterial small subunit ribosomal RNA
Source: RNAcentral
UACAGAGGGUGCAAGCGUUAAUCGGAAUUACUGGGCGUAAAGCGUGCGUAGACGGUCAUGUAAGUCGGGUGUGAAAGCCCCGGGCUCAACCUGGGAAUUGCAUUCGAGACUGCAUGGCUAGGAUGCGGAAGAGGGAAGCGGAAUUUCCGGUGUAGCGGUGAAAUGCGUAGAUAUCGGAAGGAACACCAGUGGCGAAGGCAGCCCCCUGGGCUGAGAUUGACGCUCAGGCACGAAAGCGUGGGGAGCAAACAGG